RNAcentral lists this ribosomal RNA (795 nucleotides) under uncultured bacterium. RNAcentral's name for it is "bacterial SSU rRNA". It matches the Rfam family "Bacterial small subunit ribosomal RNA", at positions 9 to 787 of the family's 1533-position model. The record is from RNAcentral.
GAGUUUGAUCAUGGCUCAGAUUGAACGCUGGCGGUAACUUUUAAACAUGCAAGUCGAGCGGUAACAGACAUAAAGAUUCAGCUUGCUGAAUCCGGUGCUGACGAGCGGCGAACGGGUGAGUAACGCGUAGGAAUCUACCCAGUAGCGGGGGAUAGCCCGAGGAAACUCGGAUUAAUACCGCAUACGCCCUGAGGGGGAAAGGGGGCAGUUUACUGCUCUCACUAUUGGAUGAGCCUGCGUAAGAUUAGCUUGUUGGUAGGGUAAUGGCCUACCAAGGCGACGAUCUUUAGCUGGUCUGAGAGGACGAUCAGCCACAUUGGGACUGAGACACGGCCCAGACAUCUACGGAUGGCAGCAGUUAAGAAUAUUGGACAAUGGGGGCAACCCUGAUCCAGGUAUACCGCGUGUGUGAAGAAGGCCCUAGGGUUGUAAAGCACUUUAAUCAGAGAAGAAGCAUUUUAAAUUAAUACCUUAAAAUGUUGACGUUACCUGAAGAAUAAGGACCGGCUAACUCCGUGCCAGCAGCCGCGGUAAUACGGAGGGUCCAAGCGUUAAUCGGAAUUACUGGGCGUAAAGCGCGCGUAGGCGGUUUAGCAAGUUGUAUGUGAAAGCCCUGGGCUCAACCUAGGAACUGCAUCCAAAACUACUAAGCUAGAGUACGAGAGAGGAGAGUAGAAUUUCUGGUGUAGCGGUGAAAUGCGUAGAUAUCAGAAGGAAUACCAAUGGCGAAGCAGCUCUCUGGCUCGUCACUGACGCUGAGUGCGAAAGCGUGGUAGCAAACAGGAUUAGAUACCC